RNAcentral lists this transfer RNA (77 nucleotides) under Thiomicrospira aerophila AL3. Its description in RNAcentral is "tRNA-fMet (CAT) (tRNA-fMet-CAT-1-1)". It matches the Rfam family "tRNA". From Rfam's summary of the family: Transfer RNA (tRNA) molecules are approximately 80 nucleotides in length. Their secondary structure includes four short double-helical elements and three loops (D, anti-codon, and T loops). RNAcentral also lists the same sequence under 2 other names. The record is from RNAcentral. Lineage: Bacteria; Pseudomonadati; Pseudomonadota; Gammaproteobacteria; Thiotrichales; Piscirickettsiaceae.
CGCGGGGUGGAGCAGUCUGGUAGCUCGUUGGGCUCAUAACCCAAAGGUCGUAGGUUCAAAUCCUGCCCCCGCUACCA